CUUGAGUAUCACCCUAAACCAAGCUUCUCCUUCCUGCCACCAUGUGAAAAAGGACAUGUUUGCUUCUCCUUCUGCCAUGAUUUAGUUCCCCUAUAUUCUCACCAGUAACUAAAAGAUUAUAUGCAAAAUAUUCUAGUCCUAGUCGAAACUACUGGCUCAACUACACUGAGGAAAAUAAUAUUUCCUUCUAGCAUAGUGUCCAGAAUGAAUCUAAGUAGAAGAAGGGAAGACGAGAAGGACACAAGAAGGAAGACAAGGAAAAAUGUCGACCUCAAAGAACUAGAGGAACAACACUGGAGUUAUACGAAACACCCAGAAUUAGAAUCAGAGCAAUUUGAUUGGAUUUACUACAGCUGAUUCUAGAUACAAGAACUUUACCGAGCCAUUUACAAUUUUUGUGCUUCAAUUUCAUCAUUUUAAAACAGAAAGAAAGCAUUUACCUUAUACGCUUGUUGCUUAGAUUAUAAAGGAAUUAUCUAUAUAAAAAGUACAAUAAAGAAGAAUAUAAAUGUAAGAAUGUAGAGGGUCACAAACAUUGUUUGAAAUAUCCAUGCUUUUCAUUUUGGAGUGAAAAGAGGAAAAAUACUAACUGUAAAAUUAAAUUCAUUACUAUAUCAAAGUCAAGCCUGCCUAUCAAGUCAUUUGACAGUUAAAAAUGUUUUGUUUAUCC
Molecule: long non-coding RNA, 670 nt
Filed under: Homo sapiens (human)
Lineage: Eukaryota; Metazoa; Chordata; Mammalia; Primates; Hominidae
Description: non-protein coding lnc-FTMT-2:4
Source: RNAcentral